GGCGCGCUGCCGCGGCCGCGAGUGGAAAACCAGCGACGAAGGAGGGAAGGAUGAACGAGGCGAGAGGAUGUUAUCGGUGCACCUGUCGCUCCUAAAUCUUGCUACUUAAGACUGCUAAGUGUCACGGACAUUUCUCACCCUUUCGUCUUCGGCAUUGCACUUAAUUGGCUAGCGCGUGGUUGCGUGUUUUCACGUCCGAUUGCGGGACUGUGUGCGCGUGUCUACUCCGAAUUAGUUUCACCUCUAGUCCUAGUACUAUCGUAAACACUUCCCUGAUUAAUUUUUCAAGGAGAACUAUAGUAGUAUGGAUAUUAUGUUGUGAUCGCGAUGCAAUAAUUGACGUUUUAAAUGCGAUCGUAGCACCAUCUAACACUUCUCAAACUUAGUAUAGAGAUAUACAAAUUCAAACGAGCUACACGCAAGCAAAUAUAAUAUUUAAAAAUAUUUCAAUUCAAACACACCGACAUAUGGACAAAAUUAUAAGAUGCUAACUAAAUCGAAACAUGGGAUUAUCGGAAGUUUGGCCCUUAUUUUAUUAUCAAAUGUUAGAAUUUAAUAUAAAGAUAAAGCAAUGUAAUAAAGAAAAAAUUACGAAUUGGCCAGAACCGCCAGAACCGGCAAAACAAACAUCCAACUGUCCAAGGUCAGAGAAGCAUGUCCAUGGGUAAACUUAAGUGUGGAGGACAUACUGAGCAUACACAGGACAGGACGACAUAUAGUAGUUGGUGGUAGUUGGGACUGUUGGGACAGUUGGGACAGAAUGAGAAGAGGGAACAUCCCUUAAUAUAGCAUCCCUGGUCUGAUCAUUAAAUUUUACUGACGAAAGCAUUGCAAAUAUACUUAAAAAGGUGCACGUGAUAUAAUAAAUGAUAAUUAUCAUUGUAGAAUCUGUAUAACCUAUAAAAAAUAACACAUAUCUGUAUAGAAAAGGGAAUUUUUAUUUGUAGAUAUUUUGCAGCAAAAGGUUACUGUUAUUAGAAAUGUCUACUAAUAUAGAAAUAAAUGAUCCUCCUAAUAAUA
Long non-coding RNA from Ceratina calcarata, 1020 nucleotides. RefSeq lists it as uncharacterized. NCBI's taxonomy places the organism in Eukaryota, Metazoa, Arthropoda, Insecta, Hymenoptera, Apidae. The transcript is spliced from 5 exons. The record is from RefSeq and is a predicted model, not a curated record.